AGCGGAGUAGAGCAGUUUGGUAGCUCACGAGGCUCAUAACCUUGAGGUCACGGGU
This 55-nucleotide transfer RNA is filed under the name Aegilops markgrafii. RNAcentral describes it as "partial tRNA-Met". It matches the Rfam family "tRNA", at positions 1 to 52 of the family's 71-position model. From Rfam's summary of the family: Transfer RNA (tRNA) molecules are approximately 80 nucleotides in length. Their secondary structure includes four short double-helical elements and three loops (D, anti-codon, and T loops). Lineage: Eukaryota; Viridiplantae; Streptophyta; Magnoliopsida; Poales; Poaceae. The record is from RNAcentral.